RNAcentral lists this ribosomal RNA (498 nucleotides) under uncultured bacterium. RNAcentral's name for it is "partial 16S ribosomal RNA". It matches the Rfam family "Bacterial small subunit ribosomal RNA", at positions 28 to 507 of the family's 1533-position model. The record is from RNAcentral.
GACGAACGCUGGCGGCGUGCCUAAUACAUGCAAGUCGAACGAGAGCGACCGGUGCUUGCACUGGUCAAUCUAGUGGCGAACGGGUGAGUAACACGUGGGUAACCUGCCCAUCAGAGGGGGAUAACAUUCGGAAACGGAUGCUAAAACCGCAUAGGUCUUCGAACCGCAUGGUUUGAAGAGGAAAAGAGGCGCAAGCUUCUGCUGAUGGAUGGACCCGCGGUGCAUUAGCUAGUUGGUGAGGUAACGGCUCACCAAGGCCGUGAUGCAUAGCCGACCUGAGAGGGUGAUCGGCCACAUUGGGACUGAGACACGGCCCAAACUCCUACGGGAGGCAGCAGUAGGGAAUCUUCCGCAAUGGACGCAAGUCUGACGGAGCAACGCCGCGUGAGUGAAGAAGGUUUUCGGAUCGUAAAACUCUGUUGUUAGAGAAGAACAAGUGCUAGAGUAACUGUUAGCGCCUUGACGGUAGCUAACCAGAAAGCCACGGCUAACUACGUG